CGAACGGUGAUGGGGAGCUUGCUCCUUGGAUCAGUGGCGAACGGGUGAGUAACACGUGAGCAAUCUGCCCUUGACUCUGGGAUAACUGCGGGAAACUGUAGCUAAUACCGGAUAUUACCUUGGAAGGCAUCUUCUGGGGUGGAAAGAAUUUUGGUCAAGGAUGAGCUCGCGGCCUAUCAGCUAGUUGGUGAGGUAAUGGCUCACCAAGGCGACGACGGGUAGCCGGCCUGAGAGGGUGACCGGCCACACUGGGACUGAGACACGGCCCAGACUCCUACGGGAGGCAGCAGUGGGGAAUAUUGCACAAUGGGCGCAAGCCUGAUGCAGCAACGCCGCGUGAGGGACGACGGCCUUCGGGUUGUAAACCUCUUUUAGUAGGGAAGAAGCGACUGGGUUUUCCUGGGAGUGACGGUACCUGCAGAAAAAGCACCGGCUAACUACGUGCCAGCAGCCGCGGUAAUACGUAGGGUGCAAGCGUUGUCCGGAAUUAUUGGGCGUAAAGAGCUCGUAGGCGGUUUGUCGCGUCUGCUGUGAAAACCCGAGGCUCAACCUCGGGCCUGCAGUGGGUACGGGCAGACUAGAGUGCGGUAGGGGAGAUUGGAAUUCCUGGUGUAGCGGUGGAAUGCGCAGAUAUCAGGAGGAACACCAAUGGCGAAGGCAGAUCUCUGGGCCGUAACUGACGCUGAGGAGCG
RNAcentral lists this ribosomal RNA (692 nucleotides) under Cryobacterium sp. Y4_322. Its description in RNAcentral is "bacterial SSU rRNA". It matches the Rfam family "Bacterial small subunit ribosomal RNA", at positions 63 to 755 of the family's 1533-position model. Lineage: Bacteria; Bacillati; Actinomycetota; Actinomycetes; Micrococcales; Microbacteriaceae. The record is from RNAcentral.